CCUACGGGUGGCAGCAGUGGGGAAUAUUGCUCAAUGGGCGAAAGCCUGACGCAGCGACGCCGCGUGAGGGAUGAAGGUCUUCGGAUCGUAAACCUCUGUCAGCAGGGAAGAACGGUCACUGUGCUAAUCAGCAGUGAAUUGACGGUACCUGCAAAGGAAGCACCGGCUAACUCCGUGCCAGCAGCCGCGGUUAUACGGAGGGUGCGAGCGUUAAUCGUAAUUACUGGGCGUAAAGCGAUCGUAGGCGGGAUGUCAAGUCAAGGGUGAAAUCCCCGCGCUCAACGUGGGAACUGCCUUUGAAACUGGCGAGCUGGAGUGUGUGAGAGGAUAGUGGAAUUCCGGGUGUAGGAGUGAAAUCCGUAGAGAUCUGGAGGAACAUCGGUGGCGAAGGCGACUAUCUGGCACAUAACUGACGCUGAGGAGCGAAAGCGUGGGUAGCAAACAGGAUUAGAUACCCGAGUAGUC
This 465-nucleotide ribosomal RNA is filed under the name uncultured bacterium. Its description in RNAcentral is "partial 16S ribosomal RNA". It matches the Rfam family "Bacterial small subunit ribosomal RNA", at positions 338 to 795 of the family's 1533-position model. The record is from RNAcentral.